UACGGAGGAUGCAAGCGUUAUCCGGAUUUAUUGGGUUUAAAGGGUGCGCAGGCGGAAAGAUAAGUCAGUGGUGAAAAACUGCCGCUUAACGGUAGUCUUGCCAUUGAUACUGUUUUUCUUGAGUAUGGAUGAGGUAGGCGGAAUGUGCAGUGUAGCGGUGAAAUGCAUAGAUAUUGCACGGAACUCCGAUUGCGAAGGCAGCUCACAAAGCCAAGAUUGACGCUGAGGCACGAAAGUGUGGGGAUCAAACAGGA
RNAcentral lists this ribosomal RNA (254 nucleotides) under uncultured prokaryote. RNAcentral describes it as "partial 16S ribosomal RNA". It matches the Rfam family "Bacterial small subunit ribosomal RNA", at positions 524 to 777 of the family's 1533-position model. The record is from RNAcentral.